This 632-nucleotide ribosomal RNA is filed under the name Escherichia coli. RNAcentral describes it as "bacterial SSU rRNA". It matches the Rfam family "Bacterial small subunit ribosomal RNA", at positions 96 to 724 of the family's 1533-position model. The record is from RNAcentral. Lineage: Bacteria; Pseudomonadati; Pseudomonadota; Gammaproteobacteria; Enterobacterales; Enterobacteriaceae.
UGGCGGACGGGUGAGUAAUGUCUGGGAAACUGCCUGAUGGAGGGGGAUAACUACUGGAAACGGUAGCUAAUACCGCAUAACGUCGCAAGACCAAAGAGGGGGACCUUCGGGCCUCUUGCCAUCGGAUGUGCCCAGAUGGGAUUAGCUAGUAGGUGGGGUAACGGCUCACCUAGGCGACGAUCCCUAGCUGGUCUGAGAGGAUGACCAGCCACACUGGAACUGAGACACGGUCCAGACUCCUACGGGAGGCAGCAGUGGGGAAUAUUGCACAAUGGGCGCAAGCCUGAUGCAGCCAUGCCGCGUGUAUGAAGAAGGCCUUCGGGUUGUAAAGUACUUUCAGCGGGGAGGAAGGGAGUAAAGUUAAUACCUUUGCUCAUUGACGUUACCCGCAGAAGGAGCACCGGCUAACUCCGUGCCAGCAGCCGCGGUAAUACGGAGGGUGCAAGCGUUAAUCGGAAUUACUGGGCGUAAAGCGCACGCAGGCGGUUUGUUAAGUCAGAUGUGAAAUCCCCGGGCUCAACCUGGGAACUGCAUCUGAUACUGGCAAGCUUGAGUCUCGUAGAGGGGGGUAGAAUUCCAGGUGUAGCGGUGAAAUGCGUAGAGAUCUGGAGGAAUACCGGUGGCGAAGGCGG